Long non-coding RNA from Haplochromis burtoni (Burton's mouthbrooder), 357 nucleotides. RefSeq lists it as uncharacterized. The transcript is spliced from 3 exons. NCBI's taxonomy places the organism in Eukaryota, Metazoa, Chordata, Actinopteri, Cichliformes, Cichlidae. The record is from RefSeq and is a predicted model, not a curated record.
GGGUCAAAUCUCUGUUUAGAUAUUUAAUUCGUAUUAUUGAUCAGCUUGGAUCAUUUCAGUAGAUCAAGAGGAAAGUGAAGAAGAUGACCUCAUCACUCAUGUCAUCAUCAAGAUAUCAGCUCAUCGAGAACAACCUGUCAAAGAAAGACGAGAUAUUGAUUUUGUAGUUGUGGUCUACUCAGCAGUGAGAAGUGAAGACGUCAGUUCUGGACAAACAACCAUCAGAACAAGCAGGCCCAGACUUUAAACCAGAGCCAGACGUCGUCUACUCUUCACUGAAGUAGUCCACCAGUCCAACCACUGACGUCCAGCUGCUGGUCUCUAACUGGUCCCCCCAGCACCUCAGACCAGAGUAAA